CCGAUAAUAGCAAAGCAGCCGAAAGGCUGUGACGCAAAGCUAUAGGGCCUAACCCCUUGUGAAGGGUAUGGCAGCCAGUUGCCGAA
This 86-nucleotide non-coding RNA is filed under the name uncultured Agathobaculum sp. Its description in RNAcentral is "Cyclic di-GMP-I riboswitch". It matches the Rfam family "c-di-GMP-I riboswitch aptamer". Rfam says of the family: GEMM was predicted in a large-scale screen for bacterial structured RNA regulatory elements. Genes associated with GEMM are involved in a diverse array of functions, including chemotaxis regulation, signal transduction, secretion and chitin. The record is from RNAcentral. Lineage: Bacteria; Bacillati; Bacillota; Clostridia; Eubacteriales; Butyricicoccaceae.